Molecule: ribosomal RNA, 442 nt
Filed under: uncultured bacterium
Lineage: Bacteria
Description: partial 16S ribosomal RNA
Rfam family: Bacterial small subunit ribosomal RNA
Source: RNAcentral
CCUACGGGAGGCAGCAGUGGGGGAUAUUGGACAAUGGGGGAAACCCUGAUCCAGCGACGCCGCGUGAGUGAAGAAGUAUUUCGGUAUGUAAAGCUCUGUCAGCAGGGAAGAAAGAAAUGACGGUACCUGAAGAAAAAGCAUCGGCUAACUCCGUGCCAGCAGCCGCGGUAAUACGGGGGAUGCGAGCGUUAUCCGGAUUUAUUGGGUUUAAAGGGUGCGUAGGCGGAAUAUCAAGUCAGCGGUAAAAAUUCGGGGCUAAACUCCGUCGUGCCGUUGAAACUGAUGUUCUUGAGUGGGCGUGCAGUAGGCGGAAUGCGUGGUGUAGCGGUGAAAUGCAUAGAGAUCACGCAGAACUCCGAUUGCGAAGGCAGCAUACCGGCGCCCAACUGACGCUGAAGCACGAAAGCGUGGGUAGCGAACAGGAUUAGAUACCCUUGUAGUC